GCUUGGUGGCAGCGCGUCUCCGGGCCCUUCGUCCGGGGAGGGCGUCCGGCGUCUUUUUAGUUAAACUGCUUCUAUCAGCUCAGCGUCUGCGGAGCAAGUCUGAGACACAGAUUAGCCGAUUUCCGACCCUGAGCGGAAGGUCAGCCGGUUUAUCCAACAUUCUGUUAGGCCCCAGCUCUGGAUAUUGAGGAAUAGUAUAUGAUCAAUGGAUUUUGUGAUCAUGGACCUACUUCUAAUCCUGGCAAGAAGAAAUAUCUUACCACAAAAUACCAAGUGACCAUAUAUCAGGAUUUGCCAAUCAUGAGUUCCAUCAGACCUGACAACACAUAUGACCAGAGUCUAAGCACAUGCUCCAUCCAGUCCACUGCCCUCAGCUCUUAUACACACCAUAAAUGCUGAUAACACUGAUCACUUGCAUCGGAUGCCACUGUGGACAUUCAAUCUUCUAGCCAGUGUCCUUCUGCUCCCAAUUCUACACUCCAACCCAAAGUUCCACUAUCUUAACAAAGCACACUUGAUUAGAUACGAGCUCCCAACUCUGCUUUUCUCUAGUUCCAAACUCAGAUGGUCCCUAUUAACACUAUUAUGGUUGCAAUGAAUCCUUCAAAUGCUUUCAGAUGAGAAAACUGAAUCUCUAGGAAGCAAGUCCUAUGAUGCUGGGGAAGAUGAGCCAGAGUGAUCUGUGAGAGAUACCCGAGUUGGCCAAGUGGAGACGCAUCUUCUCAAGACUGAAAGUCUCUGUCUCCUGAAGCAGCUGUGUUCACGCUGAAGAGAGGCUCGGAGCUUGAGACAGACGAUGACAUGUGUUGCCUCCAGUGAGGAGCCUUUACCAAAAGGCUUAAAGGAGAGAGUCAGAGCUAUACUUCGCUACCUUGCCUGUGCUUGCUAUGGAGGCCUUAUCUCUGGAUGCUGGACACUGGGAGAAGGCUUAAUGGUUCUGAGGGGUCUGUCUCCUACCAAGAACCGGGAUCACCUUAGUCCACAUGGGGCUUUACAGCUAUUUAGACUCAGCACAAGACUUGCAUUCAGCAGAGUGACCAGGAUGUGAUGGGAUCCUAAAUCAUGCUUAAAGGAGAAAAGACUCGGGGAAAAAACCACCAUCUUUAAUUAAAAGGCUGCCAUGUGGAAGAGGUUUAGAGUCGUUUUGUUCAGCCCGAGGCAGUGACAGCUAACUAAGACUUGUGAAGAGAAAGAAGUGAACGGAAGACAGCAUGUCCUUUCAUCUUGGGAGAGUUCUAAGUUUUAAGUUUAAGAUCACUAGUGAAUAGAUGGUCUCUUUACGAUGGUGAUUAAAUUAUAUUUUGUGGCCCACUGCUGGUCAAAAAAAGUCUUCUUGAUGAGUCAAAACCGGAUCCAAAAUUCAACUCCCUUCUUUAAAUGGCAUCUACUCAGAAGGCACGAUUCCCUUGGAUUUUGGUUUUGUUAGCCAUUGAAGGUAUCUGAAUGAAGACUUAUAAAAUGUUGUUCAUAAAUGAAAAUAUGUGCACUUACCAGCUUACAGAGGAGGAGUAAUUUAACAAAUGGUGUUUAGCAAUUGCCAGCAUGGCAAAACUAUUUUUGUAUAUUUACAGAUAGAGAUUAGGAACUCUCAGAAAAGUUCCAGAUGCAUUGCUUCAUAAUUAAUUGCUGCCUUUCUUUUUAAACUAUGAUAAUUUGAUAAUAUUUAUGAUGCAUUUAUAACAAUGUUUGAAUUAAAAAUUAUUAGUUUAGCAUCAUUAUUUAGUUAAUUGUGUGAAUUGUUUCAUUAACACUAUGGAUAUAGUAGGAUAUAUUUGCUUCAGGAGCAUUUUGCACCUAUAAUUUACCAUUAGCUAGACUUUAAAACUAUAUUUAGCUCAAAAUGAGUUAUUCUUACCUCUGUUGACAUACCUAUAUGUAUAUAAACCCAAACCUCCUCUCUUCCACUUUCAAAUUGCUUUGCUUAUUCAAUGGCUUCAUUUUUAUUAUCACCAAGUAUUACCCUAUUUCCAAAAGAAGAAGACAGGCCCUGGGAUCCAAGUAUGUUUCUGACAAAAAUGUCUACGUGAUAUUUUUCUGCAGUGAGGAUUCAAAAACCAGAUGGAUGAUUCAAUGAAAUGGCAUUUCUGUUUUCUUCUGAUUUUUCUGUUUUUUUUUUUUAAACAUAUAAUGUUUUAUUCAUUACGGGUACACUAUAUAGUGAUUCAACAAUUCAUACACACCUGGUAAUUUACUAUCUCAACAACUUUCCUAUGUAUCUUACAGUGUUAGUUAUUGUUAUCAUGUUGCACAUUACAUCCCUACUACUUAUUUGUCUUAUAACCAGAAGUUUGUUUAUAAAUUCUUCCAAUUUCCCCCUGGCAAGCACACAUCUGGUCUCUUUUUCUAAGUCUUGGUUUUUUUUUUCCUCAGAUUCCACAUAGAAGUGAGAUCAUAUGGUGUUUAUCUUUCUCUAUCUGACUUAUUUCACUUAGCAUAAUGCCUUCAGGGUCCAUCCAUGUUGUUGCA
Molecule: long non-coding RNA, 2466 nt
Organism: Canis lupus familiaris (dog)
Lineage: Eukaryota; Metazoa; Chordata; Mammalia; Carnivora; Canidae
Exons: 9
Source: RefSeq, a predicted model, not a curated record